Molecule: unclassified non-coding RNA, 255 nt
Filed under: uncultured fungus
Lineage: Eukaryota; Fungi
Description: partial contains small subunit ribosomal RNA, internal transcribed spacer 1, and 5.8S ribosomal RNA
Rfam family: Eukaryotic small subunit ribosomal RNA (bases 1-73)
Source: RNAcentral
GCAAACUUGGUCAUUUAGAGGAAGUAAAAGUCGUAACAAGGUUUCCGUAGGUGAACCUGCGGAAGGAUCAUUAACGAAUUUGAUUUUAUCAUUUUUCUGUGAAAUUCAUUUGAAUUUGCUUCGGCUGUUGAUAUUUUUGUUAGCAGCCGGCAUUAUAAACUUAACCAAAUUUUUUUGUCUAAAAGAUUUUAUUAAAAAUAAAUCAAAACUUUCAACAACGGAUCUCUAGGUUCUCGCAUCGAUGAAGAACGCAGC